GAGGAUAUAGCUCAGUGAUACAGUGUGUGCUUAAUAUCCAUGAGGUUCUGGGUUCAAUUCCCAGUACCUCCA
This 72-nucleotide transfer RNA is filed under the name Camelus bactrianus (Bactrian camel). It matches the Rfam family "tRNA". Rfam says of the family: Transfer RNA (tRNA) molecules are approximately 80 nucleotides in length. Their secondary structure includes four short double-helical elements and three loops (D, anti-codon, and T loops). Lineage: Eukaryota; Metazoa; Chordata; Mammalia; Artiodactyla; Camelidae. The record is from Rfam by way of RNAcentral. RNAcentral also lists the same sequence under 2 other names.